This 26-nucleotide non-coding RNA is filed under the name Mus musculus (house mouse). The record is from RNAcentral. Lineage: Eukaryota; Metazoa; Chordata; Mammalia; Rodentia; Muridae.
UGUGUGAUGCAUACGACGGUGUCUGC